GGAAGAUUCUUAACCUUGUAACUUUGGACAAUUAAACUCUAGGAUUUUGGUUUCUUAUCUGUAAAGUGUGGUUGAUAUUGUCUACGUAGCCUGGUUGUGGUGAAGAAUGGAUGAAGUGAUGCCUGAAAAACUGCCUAGCAGUGCUCUUAGUAGGCCCUUGACAUAUGGGAGGUGUUUUGAUAAUUAACAUGAUUACUAGUACAUCACUAGCGGGGACUAGAAAUCUAGCACGAGAUGAUUCUCAAGGUCCUUUCUGCUACAAAAUUCCAACAUUCUUUUCUUUCAAAGAGCUAACUAUUGAACAAUUGCAGAGCUUUAAGAAUUGAUUUUAACUGUUAUCUUAUGUGAUCCCUCAGUAGCCUCCAGAAGGUGCCACCAUUGAUGUAAUUUCUUCCUUUAACAGAUGAGGAAACUGAGGUUGGUGAGUUGGGCAAUUUGCCAGGGGCAACAUGGCGGAUUGGUUGCUAUCACUCAUUGUGAAGUCAGAGUUACAGGCAAGGGAGCAACAGGGCUGAGGAGAUACCUGUUCUCCCAGUUUCACGGCCAGUACAAGGCCAUUCUUACACUGCUCGGGGGAGCCCCUCAGGAGAAGACACAUUUAAGAGUUUCCAGCAAGAAGAGUCAGGUCAUGCAGUCAGCUGCUUUCUCAGCCCAGCUGUGGGAAUGUAAACAAGUUUCUAACCUCAUUGAAUCUUAGGUUCCCUGUUUGGAAACAGAUGAGAUCCACAACAGCCAUUAUCUUAUUGGAUGGUUGUUGUAUGGCAGGGGCUGUACUGAAGAGUCACACACAUUACUUAGUCUUCCCAACAAUCCUGCAAGAUAUAGAACCUUGACAUGUUUCUCAGGCUGGUCUGAAACUCCUGGGGCUCAAGCGAUCCACCUGCCUCCACCUCUCAAAGUGCUGAGAUUACAGGGCCUAUGGUUCAUCCUGCAAUAUCAGAGAAUACACAACUGUUGGAAGCUCAUUUGUGCAGAAGCACUAGUUAGACCAAGUCCCAGGAUGGUGGGGACUUGAACUGCCUCAUGCACAUUGUACCCAAGAGCCUGGCCCAUGAAGGUGAAUCAGUGGAUACUUGAAUAAAAAGAAGAAUAUGCGCUGAAGUUUUCUUUGAGGACAUUUUUUUUUCUUUCCAUAGUUUUGAGCAUCUCUGAUGUUUUGAGAUUUCUGCCAGUCUUUGAGGAUGUAAUGCUCAAUUAGACUUGUUCUCUGUCCUCAAAGAGCUUAUAUAAUAGUUAGUGAGCUAAUUCUCCUGUUUUGAGAGACAGGAGAAAAUGUUAUGUUAUAAUGAGUCAUUCAGACUCUAUCUACUAGGCCUGACUUUGUUACUUUUUAAAAAGCAUUCUUCCACUCCUGCUUGGAUAUCUCUGUAUACAAGACUCAGAGACACGUAUGACGCCCCUUAGGAGGGGUUCUGACGUGCAAAUUUCUGAGACCCAGAAGCACCUACCUUCCAUUUUCCAAUGCCCCAAAUUCUAUGAAAACCACGAGCACAUGCAUUCGUUCCCAUGUUCUCGGGUGCCUCGCCUAUCAGUCAAGGGUCACAAGAUCUGCAGGGCAGUUGCUUUCAAAAUAAAAUGGAUGUGAAAACAGCUGAAGCCCAGCGAGCACUUGAUAACUGCUUCUUUUGAAGGCAAAAUAAGAUUAUUCUAUGAGGUAACAGGCUCCUUCUGGGCUUAAGUAGGCAUAGGGUUUACAGUGUAGAUUCUUGUGCUAUGGUUUUCCCAUAAAAGAGGGAAACCUUGAAAUCACAGCACUUUUGUGGUAGGGAGGAUUUCAAGCAGUGCUUAAUAAGGUGUACAUGACCAUAGCAGAGUGUCCCCCCCCAUCUCAGGGAAAAGGCCCCUGAAAUUAAUCAUGAGAAUCCUCUCCUGUCCCCAGGGACCUAGAUGAACCCUGACUAAUGAAUAUUUAAAUCUCACUCUUUGUCUGCUCUCACACUCAAACCCUGAUUCAUGACUGUAUGCUUUCCAUUUGGCAUGGAACAGAGAUCACAAGUCCACAGGGUAUAGCUCCAUGCCACCUGGGGCUCCUUUAGACAUUAGUAUUAU
Molecule: long non-coding RNA, 2049 nt
Filed under: Homo sapiens (human)
Lineage: Eukaryota; Metazoa; Chordata; Mammalia; Primates; Hominidae
Description: HSALNT0239629
Source: RNAcentral